CCAUCUGUUUCUUUUUACCAUUUUUAUAGAAGAGAUGGUCCUAAAAUCCAAAUCCGAUUCCAAUUCGUCUUUAUCCCUUUCAUCAAUUCAAGGGUCGGAAUCCGAUCUAAUCCAACGUUUCUUCAUUACAUCGUUCACUCGUUGAGAUUCUGAACUUCACAUAGACGGAAAAAAGAGCAGAAAUAUUUGUGGGAUUAAUUUGCUUUCCUCAUGCGCCCCUGCAUCUCCAAAUUUUUCCAAUGGCAUCGCGGUUGCAGAAAUUUGAGCUCGGCUAAGAUUCUGCAUAGAAUCAGGGACACUCAACAUUUGAGAAUUGGCCACAUAAAUGUAUCCACAUCGAAGAUGUUCUCAACUUCAUGUGGAACGUUGUCAGAAGAUGCAAUUAAAGAUAAUCCUGUCUCUGAUAUGCUAAUUGAUUCAUUCGGGAGGCAACAUACUUACUUGAGGAUCUCAUUAACAGAACGUUGUAAUUUAAGAUGCCAAUACUGUAUGCCAGCUGAGGGUGCAGAGCUUACUCCUAGCCCGGAACUUCUCUCGACGAAUGAGAUUGUUCGUUUAGCUAAUUUGUUUGUAAGUUCAGGUGUAGAAAAAAUUCGUUUGACUGGUGGGGAGCCAACUGUUAGGAAGGAUAUUGAAGAAAUAUGUUUACAGUUGUCAAAUUUAAAUGGAUUGAAGACCCUGGCCAUGACUACAAAUGGAAUUAUUUUGGAAAGAAAGCUUCCAUCUUUAAAAGAAUGUGGCCUUAGUUUGUUGAACAUAAGUUUAGACACACUGGUUCCUGCAAAAUUUGAAUUUAUGACCAGACGCAAAGGACAUGAAAGGGUAAUGAAGUCCAUUGAUGCGGCAAUAGAAUUGGGAUAUAAUCCUGUCAAACUGAAUUGUGUCGUAAUGCGGGGAUUCAAUGAUGAUGAAAUUUGUGAUUUUGUCGAGUUAACACGUGAGAAGCCAAUCAAUGUCCGUUUUAUUGAGUUUAUGCCUUUUGAUGGAAAUGUCUGGAAUGUGAAGAAACUCGUAUCGUACUCUGAAAUGUUGGAUAGAGUGGUAAGGCGAAACGGUUUACAGGGCUUCAAAGGAUUCGGGACCAUCCUUCAGAGACAGCCAAGAAUUUUAGAAUUAAUGGCCACCAGGGUACAGUUUCUUUUAUCACAUCAAUGACUGAGAACUUUUGUGCUGGUUGCAAUAGAUUGAGACUCUUAGCGGACGGAAAUUUUAAAGUUUGCCUUUUUGGACCCUCAGAGGUUAGCUUGAGGGAUCCUCUGCGUCAUGGUGUUGAUGAUAAAGAACUCAAGGAGAUUAUUGGGGCAGCGGUGAAAAGGAAGAAAGCUGCUCAUGCUGGGAUGUUUGACAUUGCAAAGACACCAAACAGACCGAUGAUACAUAUUGGUGGCUAGGACUCAUCUUUAGUUCAAUAGCAUUUUGUGUUGAACACAUCACUUGGUCAUGCCUAAGGGGUUAUUUGACAAAGCUUUUGAUAAAAAAAAUUUGUAGAUUUUGAUAGAAGUUGAGGUAAUAUGUGGUUGAAAGUUGAUAAAAGGUGUGGGCACAUGAAAUUUGCAGUUGAAGUUGAAGUUUUACCAGUUAAAAAGUUAGAAAAAUUUAAGAAAAAUUUAUCACCUAGGCACUAUUACUAUUUAUUGAUCUCACAUUCUCUUGACCUGAUCUGAAGAAUACAAAACAGGCAGAAAAGGGAGUAUGGGAAGAAAAUAAGGAAAUAGCAAAGGAAUGAGGUCAUACUUCCAUGUUAACUUUUUGAGUUUGUAAAUAAGAAGGCUGAUAGUAGUGAGAAACAGCUCAUCCAUUUGUUAGCUAUGCAUGUAAUGGCACUUUUGAAUAGUCAUUGAUACAGGUUUUGUUGUGCUACUUGAAUUUAUACAGUUCUCUUCAGUAAUAGGUGAUGCUUACCCAAGUACUCGAAAGAAAUUCAUAGAGCAUGUCAAGAUUUGUUUCAUAAUAAAUUGAUCCUCCAUAUUCUUUGGUGUUU
RNA transcript from Olea europaea var. sylvestris, 1981 nucleotides. It is a transcript of the gene named GTP 3',8-cyclase, mitochondrial-like, with no coding region annotated. NCBI's taxonomy places the organism in Eukaryota, Viridiplantae, Streptophyta, Magnoliopsida, Lamiales, Oleaceae. The transcript is spliced from 7 exons. The record is from RefSeq and is a predicted model, not a curated record.